CAGUAGCCACGGUAAAACGAAGGGGGCUAGCGUUGCUCGGAAUUACUGGGCGUAAAGGGCGCGUAGGCGGAUGUUUAAGUCAGAGGUGAAAGCCCAGGGCUCAACCUUGGAACUGCCUUUGAUACUGGACAUCUUGAGUAUGGGAGAGGUGAGUGGAACUCCGAGUGUAGAGGUGAAAUCCGUAGAUAUUCGGAAGAACACCAGUGGCGAAGGCGACUCACUGGCCCAUUACUGACGCUGAGGCGCGAAAGCGUGGGGAGCAAACAGGAUUAGAUACCCCCGUAGUCUCUGUCUCUUAUCC
RNAcentral lists this ribosomal RNA (301 nucleotides) under uncultured bacterium. Its description in RNAcentral is "partial 16S ribosomal RNA". It matches the Rfam family "Bacterial small subunit ribosomal RNA", at positions 509 to 809 of the family's 1533-position model. The record is from RNAcentral.